UACGUAGGGGGCAAGCGUUGUCCGGAUUUAUUGGGCGUAAAGAGCGUGUAGGCGGCCUGACAGGUCUGCUGUGAAAACUCGAGGCUCAACCUCGAGAUGUCGGCGGAAACCGUCUGGCUAGAGUCCGGAAGAGGAGAGUGGAAUUCCUGGUGUAGCGGUGAAAUGCGCAGAUAUCAGGAAGAACACCGGUGGUGUAAACGGCUUUCUGGACCGUAACUGACGCUGAUGCACGAAAGCGUGGGUAGCAAACAGG
This 253-nucleotide ribosomal RNA is filed under the name uncultured bacterium. RNAcentral's name for it is "partial 16S ribosomal RNA". It matches the Rfam family "Bacterial small subunit ribosomal RNA", at positions 524 to 776 of the family's 1533-position model. The record is from RNAcentral.